AAGCCCAGAAUACUGGAGUGGGUNNNNNNNNNNNNNNNNNNNNNNNNNNNNNNNNNNNNNNNNNNNNNNNNNNNNNNNNNNNNNNNNNNNNNNNNNNNNNNNNNNNNNNNNNNNNNNNNNNNUGGGUAGCUUAUCUCUUCUCCAGGGGAUCUUCCUGACCCAGGAAUCAAACCAGGGUCGUCCACAUUGCAGGCGGAUUCUUUACCAACUGAGUUAUCAGGGAAGCCCUGUAUAAGGCACUAGGCUUUAAAAAUUUCAAGGUUGAUGUUUUAAAUUAGACCUGCAGCUAAUAGAAUAUAUUUGGGUCUAAAGAGUAAGUGAGCACUCUAAUAAAAACAUAAUUAUUAAAACUCAUUUUCAAAUGUUAUAAUAACCUUAUCAGUUACAUAGCAUAUGUGUAUAUGUGUGCUCAGUCAUGUCCGAUAUUUUGCAACCCCAUAGAUUGUAGCCCAUCAGGUUCUUCUGUCCAUGGAAUUUUCCAGGCACGUACUGGAGUGGGUUGCUAUUUCCUAUUCCAGGGUAUAUUCCCAGCUCAGAGACUGAACCCACAUCUCCUGCAAUGGCAGACAGAUUCUUUACCACUGUGCCACCUGGGAAGCCCAGUAAGACAUAAAAGAUUAUCUUUAUAUUAUAAUCCUUAUUAACUAAGUUAUCCCUAAUUUCAGAAAUAACUAGCUUUUUAUUUUCUAGGGAGAAGUGAAACAUAAUGAAUUAUAAGGUGAUUAAUCAGUCAUCAAUUUGACUAGAUGUUUGAUGAGUACAGAUUGCUAAAUGUCAGAAUUCUAGAACUACACACCAGAAUUUUGUUUAUGGAGUUCCCAAUUUUUAGUCUAUACAACUCUGAAACAGAACUAUACUGGAACAAAUACAAGAGAAGGAAGGGCAGAAAGAGUAGCAAAUUAUCACAUUUAAGGUAUAAAAACAUUAAACAUAGGAAUAUCUGUGGUCUUAUUAUGAAAUCUUUUUUAAGCAACUCUGAAUCAAACAGUGUUGAGGUAGGUUGCAAUAUGAGGCAGGUUCAAGAAAUUUCUAUGUUAUUUACUUCUGACUGCACAUAGAGCUCCAGACUACCCACUCUUUAGCCACACAUCACUAUGCGAAGUGUACCUCAUCUCCAACUAAGAAUUUGAGACAACUUGGAUCUGGGAAAGACUGGAAAAAAAAAAAGGUAGCUAUGCAAAUUUAAUAUAAACAAAUUUUGCAGGAAGACUGUUCGGUCAACAUAGGAAAGUAAACUCCCUCUGAACCUUAUGUAAAAUGUUGAGCAGCAACCAUGUCUAUAGAAAUCAAUAUGUUUUUCUGUCUCACACUGGCCUCUGCCAUAAUAAUUCUAUUUUAUUUUCAAGAUACAUCUUUGUGUAGAUGCCAAGAUCUUAUGAAUAAUAUCUGAAGAAAAAAAAAUAAGAAAAAAUAUUUUUAACUCCAUCUUUUUAUAAUCUGAUAUAACCAAUUUAACGGCAUUAAGAGCAAGGUGGUAUUACAACUGAAGUUUAACAUGACCAUUGAGGAAGCAAGAACAAACAUUCCCAUUAAAAUAUUAAUAAAAUAAUAGGGUCCAAAACUGUAUAUAUGGGACAUAGUGGCAUAGUGGUUAAAAUAUAGGGGCUGGAAGAACACAUUGUUACCAGCUCUGUGAGACUGUCCAAAUUAUUUAACAUCUCAGAGCCAAGCAUUCCUCAUAAGAAAUAUUGAAAUAAUAAAAGACUGCCUCCCUAGAUGGGUUCUGUGAAAAUUAAACAAGAGAAUGUACUUAGAACACUUUAAUCAGUGCACUUAAGUAAGUGCUUAAUAAAUGCUUAACGUUAUUGUCAUCCUCUCAAAAUUGUUUUCACUUAACACUCUCAUAAUAAACAAAAGAUUUUGGCAUUUAAAAAAAAUUCCAGAAAGAAACUGACCAAAAUAUUAAUAUAUUUCUGGGAAUCAGUAGUAGGGUUCUUUUCUAAAUGUUCUAAAACGAACAUAUUAUAAGUAAAAUAAGCUAAAUCUUAAGUUAUUUUAAAUAUUCAAAACUAAGAAAAUAUUUUGUAACAAGAGAAGGUAUCCGACCUGGGUCUAGGUCAUUGCUAGGAGACUAGUUUCCUAUAUUAUCUGAGAAAAUCAAAUUUUUAUGAGAAAAUCAUGCAGUGUAUUAGCUGAGACUAUGGGUUCUAGCCUCACUGCUGGCUAUCUGGUAAUCAUUUGGGUAAUUUUGGAUGAGCCUAUAUGACCUCUGGAAGUCCUAAUUCCCAUCUUUGCAAAAUGAAAUAGUAAAGUAGCUCAUUCGAGUGUAUUUUUUAAAAGGUUUCUGUUUCAAAUUUCAUGUUUCUAUAAACACAGGAAUCAAGGCAUCAUGACUUUUGUUUAAAAAUAUUUUUGACACAUAAAGCUUCUGUUAUUAGAACUCUAUGCUCCUGGAGCAUUAAUACAUAGAAUAAGAUAAAUUAUCCAGAGGCAGACACAAGUACAUAUGAUAAAGGGUGUUCCAGCAAUUGGGAAAAAGGAAGAUGCCUCAGUGAAUAAUGUCAGAACAACAUGGGAAAAUAUUUAAUUGGAUCCACUCCUCAUACCUCACACCAAGAUAAAUUCCAAAUGAGAUCUAAAUAUACAAAAUGAAAACAUGGAAGAAAACAGCUGCGGCUUACUUUAUAACCUGGAAGCGGUAAGUUAUUCCUAUCUCAAAAUCCAGAUCCAAUGGGGAAAAGAAUAACCACAUAAAGAUAAAUUUGACUGCAUAAAAAUAAGUAAUAAUUAAAACUUAUACUUAAUAAAAUAUUGUAAGCAAAUGGCAAUAGGGAAAAAACUGUAAUAUAUCAUGCAGGAAUAAUAGCCUCAAUUUAUAAGGAACUUCUAAAAACUGAGAAGGAAAAGAUCAAUAGCCCAAUUCAGACAAAACAUGAACACACGGUUCAUAGAAAAAGAAAUGCAAAUGGUCCUCAGCAUAAUAAAAAUGUUUAACUUCAUUAAUGAUAUAAGAAGUACAAGUUAAAACAACAUGAGAUCCCAUUUUUCACCUUUCAGAUUAGCGAAAGCUCCAAAAGCUUACAACAUACUCUGUUGAUGGGAAAAACUAGCUCUUAUAUAUUACUGUUGGGAACACACCAGUGGAGGUGGAUUGGGCAGUUUCUAUCAAAAUCACAUAUGAUUUACUCUUUGACCCAUCAAUUCCUCUUAUAAAAAUCAAUCCCCCAAAGUAGCAGCAAGACCAACAGCAAAGGACUGGAAAUAACUCAAAUGUCCAACAACAAGGGACUGGUUAAAUAAACUACAGCCACACAAGGGAGCUGUCAGAUACAUAAAGCAGAUCCCCAUAUACUGCUAUGGACUGCUUUCCAGGAUACAUGAAUACAGAAAAAGCACAGCACAGAAGACUGUGUGCUGAAUGUCAUACAGGGAAUAUUAUGUGCUAUAAAAACACAGCUACUUACAUAUCGGGGGUGUCUAAGGUAGCUCAAUGGUAAAGAGUCUCCUGCCAAUGCAGGAGAGGUGGGCUCGAUGCCAUAGGUUUGAUCCCAUGGGGUUAGGAAGAUCCCCUGGAGAAGGAAAUGGCAACCCACUGCAAUAUUCUUGCCNNNNNNNNNNNNNNNNNNNNNNNNNNNNNNNNNNNNNNNNNNNNNNNNNNNNNNNNNNNNNNNNNNNNNNNNNNNNNNNNNNNNNNNNNNNNNNNNNNNCCUGGAGAAGGAAAUGGCAACCCAUUCCAGUAUUCUUGCCUGGAGAAUCCGCAUGGACAGAGGAGCCUGGUAGGCUAUAGUCCAUAGGUCCCAAAGAGUCGGACAUGACUGAGCAACUUUCUCCACUAGUUCUGCAAUAUUCCGUAUUCCUAGUGCCCAGUAAAAAAUUUGAGGCAUGCCACUUAUAUUUAUCAAGAUGUAACAAUGUUUUGGGGUAAAGAUCUUAAUAUUUACAAUUUAUCUCAACUGUAUAUAAACAAACUUUAAUGAAUUCAUGUGAUGAACUACUUUUUUAGCUCUUCUAUUUCCCGUAAUUUUUAGUUAGGCGAAACCUCCUCUAUUCAGUGUAAGUGUUAGUAAGUAAGUGUUAGUCGCUCAGUCGUGCCCAACUCUUUGGGACCCCAUGGACUGCCACCCACCAGGCUCCUCUGUCCAUGAGAUUUUCCAAGCAAGAAUACUGGAGU
RNAcentral lists this long non-coding RNA (4111 nucleotides) under Capra hircus (goat). Its description in RNAcentral is "lncRNA (ENSCHIG00010012056.1)". The record is from RNAcentral. Lineage: Eukaryota; Metazoa; Chordata; Mammalia; Artiodactyla; Bovidae.